CCUACGGGAGGCAGCAGUGAGGAAUAUUGGUCAAUGGAGGCAACUCUGAACCAGCCAUGCCGCGUGCAGGAUGACGGUCCUAUGGAUUGUAAACUGCUUUUGUACAGGAAGAAACCUCCCUACGAGUAGGGACUUGACGGUACUGUAAGAAUAAGGAUCGGCUAACUCCGUGCCAGCAGCCGCGGUAAUACGGAGGAUCCGAGCGUUAUCCGGAAUUAUUGGGUUUAAAGGGUUCGUAGGCGGCUUUGUAAGUCAGUGGUGAAAUUUCCUAGCUUAACUAGGACACUGCCAUUGAUACUGCAGAGCUUGAAUAAUAUGGAAGUAACUAGAAUAUGUAGUGUAGCGGUGAAAUGCUUAGAUAUUACAUGGAAUACCAAUUGCGAAGGCAGGUUACUACGUAUUUAUUGACGCUGAUGAACGAAAGCGUGGGGAGCGAACAGGAUUAGAUACCCUGGUAGUCCACGCCGUAAACGAUGGAUACUAGCUGUUCGGUUUUCGGACUGAGUGGCUAAGCGAAAGUGAUAAGUAUCCCACCUGGGGAGGUACGUUCGUCGAGAAGUAGAAACGUUAAAUAGUAAGUUAGUACGGCGUGAGAGUGACCGACGGACGACGACGAGGGAGGAGG
Molecule: ribosomal RNA, 625 nt
Filed under: uncultured bacterium
Lineage: Bacteria
Description: bacterial SSU rRNA
Rfam family: Bacterial small subunit ribosomal RNA (bases 1-535)
Source: RNAcentral